RNAcentral lists this long non-coding RNA (377 nucleotides) under Mytilus galloprovincialis (Mediterranean mussel). Lineage: Eukaryota; Metazoa; Mollusca; Bivalvia; Mytilida; Mytilidae. The record is from RNAcentral.
UGCCAAAUCUAACUGUGUAUGUAGAUUCUUAAUUUUUGGUCCAGUUUUCAAAUUGGUCUACAUUAAGGUUCAAAGGGUCCAAAAUUAAACUAAGUUUGAUUUUAACAAAAAUUAAAUUCUUGGGCUUAUUUGAUAUGCUUUAUCUAAACAUGUACUUAUUUUUGAUUAUGGGCCCAGUUUUCAAGUUGGUCCAAAUCAGGAUUCCAUAUCAAGUAUUGUGCAAUAGCAAGAAAUUUUAAAUUGCACAGUAUUGCACAAUAGCAAGAAAUAUCUAAUUGCACAAUAUUGUGCAAUAGCAAUUAAUUUUCAAUUGGAGUUAUCUUUCUUUGUAUAGAAUAGUAGUUGAUAAUAUAUGUUGGAAAUUUGCCAGACAUGAC